RNAcentral lists this ribosomal RNA (301 nucleotides) under uncultured bacterium. RNAcentral describes it as "partial 16S ribosomal RNA". It matches the Rfam family "Bacterial small subunit ribosomal RNA", at positions 509 to 807 of the family's 1533-position model. The record is from RNAcentral.
CAGCCGCCACGGUAAUACGGAGGGUGCAAGCGUUAUCCGGAUUUAUCGGGUUUAAAGGGUCCGUAGGCGGACUUAUAAGUCAGUGGUGAAAGCCUGUCGCUUAACGAUAGAACUGCCAUUGAUACUGUAAGUCUUGAGUAUAUUUGAGGUAGCUGGAAUAAGUAGUGUAGCGGUGAAAUGCAUAGAUAUUACUUAGAACACCAAUUGCGAAGGCAGGUUACCAAGAUAUAACUGACGCUGAGGGACGAAAGCGUGGGUAGCGAACAGGAUUAGAUACCCCCGUAGUCCCUGUCUCUUAUAC